Long non-coding RNA from Salvia miltiorrhiza (redroot sage), 439 nucleotides. RefSeq lists it as uncharacterized. The record is from RefSeq and is a predicted model, not a curated record. The transcript is spliced from 3 exons. NCBI's taxonomy places the organism in Eukaryota, Viridiplantae, Streptophyta, Magnoliopsida, Lamiales, Lamiaceae.
UCAACCUUCAUAAUUUCCAUUGUCUACGGAAUCCACUUAUAAAUAGCAUAUCAGUUAACACACAACUCACUUCACUCUAGCAAGAACCACACCCGUGCAGAGAAAGGUAAAUAAACUUCACUUCUUAUGCACUUCCUUAACAGCUUCUCAUUCAAUAACCUUAUUCUUGAAUCAUUCUCGCAGCCAACACAAAACCAAUCGAACUCCAGAACAACAACGAAAAUCAGAAAGCUUUCUUCAAGGUCAAGUGUGGGAGUCGGUGCUAUCGGGAGAAUCACUGCCUUAGUAGCGAAACUCUACAACAGGUUGAGCAGUGAUGAGUGAUGAUGGGGUGUCGUGCGGAGCUUUGUCAUAUUUACUAAAUAAACUCUUGGCGAUACAUGUCUUCAUACAUGUAUCACGUUCUCAUUUCCGCUGCGAACACUCAGUUAUGAUGUAG